Molecule: transfer RNA, 56 nt
Filed under: Vulpes vulpes (red fox)
Lineage: Eukaryota; Metazoa; Chordata; Mammalia; Carnivora; Canidae
Description: partial tRNA-Pro
Source: RNAcentral
CAGGGAAUAGUUUAAAAAGAAUUUCAGCUUUGGGUGCUGACGGCGGGGCGUGUGCC